This 463-nucleotide transfer RNA is filed under the name Bartonella henselae. RNAcentral describes it as "partial 16S-23S ribosomal RNA intergenic spacer". The stretch from base 356 to 428 matches the Rfam family "tRNA". The record is from RNAcentral. Lineage: Bacteria; Pseudomonadati; Pseudomonadota; Alphaproteobacteria; Hyphomicrobiales; Bartonellaceae.
AAGUCCUCCCAGGCCCACCAGUUUAUCCAUUACUUUCAUAAGUGCUUUUAAAAAAUAAGUACUUCUAAAAAGAUUGCUUCUAAAAAGCUUAUCAAAAUUGGCAGGCUUAUUGCUUUUGUGUGAGUAAUCCAAAGUUAAAGCAAAUUAAUGGCAAAAAAACAGUUCAAAUGCUAAAUACUAAGGAGUCAAAAUUCCUUGCAAAGUGAUUUUUACAGCGUCCAUUUGGUUGAUAUAAAUUCCAAAUGCUCAUAGACGUCAAUGCCUAUAUGAAACUAUCGGUUCAAUCAUAUCGCUUUGAGUUAUAUAGAUUUUGUAAUCCCUCUUUUGAUCGUUUUAAACGCUUUAUCCUGAUUUAGGGGCCGUAGCUCAGCUGGGAGAGCACCUGCUUUGCAAGCAGGGGGUUGUCGGUUCGAUCCCGUCCGGCUCCACCAUAAGGUCAUCAUCAUUGUUGUAAGAACAGUUU